UUGAAGGGUUUGAUCCUGGCUCAGAAUGAACGUUGUCGGCGUGGAUUAGGCAUGCAAGUCGAGCGACAAGCUCAGACGGAUCCCUUCGGGGUGAAGACUGAGUGGAGGAGCGGCAAACGGGGUAGUUAGGCGCAGGUACGUACCCUCAGGUCGGGGAUAGCCAUGGGAAACUGUGGGUAAUACCCGAUAAUCCGGUAACGGCAAAGGUGUGAUUCCGCCGGAGGAGCGGUCUGCGUGGUAUUAGCUUGUUGGUGAGGUAAUGGCUCACCAAGGCGAAGAUGCCUAGGGGGUGUGAGAGCAUGGCCCCCACCACUGGGACUGAGACACUGCCCAGACAUCUACGGAUGGCUGCAGUCGAGAAUCUUUGGCAAUGCACGCAAGUGUGACCAAGCGACGCCGAGUGCUGGAUGAAGGCCUUCGGGUUGUAAACAGCUGUCAGAGGGGAUGAAAUUGUUGGGGGCUAUCCCCCUUCAUUGACAAAGCCUCAGAGGAAGCGCGGGCUAAGUUCGUGCCAGCAGCCGCGGUAAUACGAAGGGGGCUAGCGUUGUUCGGAAUUACUGGGCGUAAAGCGCGCGUAGGUGGUUAGGUAAGCGAGAUGUGAAAGCCCCGGGCUUAACCUGGGAACGGCAUUUCGAACUGUCUGACUAGAGUGUGGUAGAGGGUAGUGGAAUUUCCUGUGUAGCGGUGAAAUGCGUAGAUAUAGGAAGGAACACCAGUGGCGAAGGCGGCUACCUGGACCAACACUGACACUGAGGUGCGAAAGCGUGGGGAGCAAACAGGAUUAGAUACCCUGGUAGUCCACGCCGUAAACGAUGGAUACUAGCUGUCCGGCCUUCGGGCUGGGUGGCCAAGCGAAAGUGAUAAGUAUCCCACCUGGGGAGUACGUUCGCAAGAAUGAAACUCAAAGGAAUUGACGGGGGCCCGCACAAGCGGUGGAGCAUGUGGUUUAAUUCGAUGAUACGCGAGGAACCUUACCAGGGCUUAAAUGCAUUCGGACAGGUGUGGAAACACGCUUUUCUUCGGACCGUUUGCAAGGUGCUGCAUGGUUGUCGUCAGCUCGUGCCGUGAGGUGUCAGGUUAAGUCCUAUAACGAGCGCAACCCCUGUCGUUAGUUGCCAGCAUGUAAAGAUGGGAACUCUAACGAGACUGCCGGUGCAAACCGCGAGGAAGGUGGGGAUGACGUCAAAUCAUCACGGCCCUUACGUCCUGGGCUACACACGUGCUACAAUGGCCGGUACAGAGGGCAGCCACACCGUAAGGUGGAGCGAAUCCUUAAAACCGGUCUCAGUUCGGAUCGGGGUCUGCAACUCGACCCCGUGAAGCUGGAAUCGCUAGUAAUCGGAUAUCAGCCAUGAUCCGGUGAAUACGUUCCCGGGCCUUGUACACACCGCCCGUCACACCAUGGGAGUUGGCUUUACCCGAAGGCGGUGCGCUAAAAAA
RNAcentral lists this ribosomal RNA (1440 nucleotides) under Madagascaria erythrocladioides. Its description in RNAcentral is "partial Bacterial small subunit ribosomal RNA". It matches the Rfam family "Bacterial small subunit ribosomal RNA". The record is from RNAcentral. Lineage: Eukaryota; Rhodophyta; Compsopogonophyceae; Erythropeltidales; Erythrotrichiaceae.